GGUUUGACUGCCUGUCCUUCCCUGCCAUUUGUCAAUGAGAAAACAGGACCUUCAGAGAUCUCUGUUUCCAGUGUGGUUUAGUGACCAUAUCAUGUCGAAAAGUUCCUUCCACAGAAGAGAGGAAUAUAUUUUCCUCUCUUAUGGAGCCACUGUCCACCAG
This is a long non-coding RNA of Empidonax traillii (willow flycatcher), 160 nucleotides long. RefSeq lists it as uncharacterized. The record is from RefSeq and is a predicted model, not a curated record. The transcript has 3 exons. NCBI's taxonomy places the organism in Eukaryota, Metazoa, Chordata, Aves, Passeriformes, Tyrannidae.